This 155-nucleotide small nuclear RNA is filed under the name Nannospalax galili (Upper Galilee mountains blind mole rat). RNAcentral's name for it is "U1 spliceosomal RNA (ENSNGAG00000001727.1)". It matches the Rfam family "U1 spliceosomal RNA". From Rfam's summary of the family: U1 is a small nuclear RNA (snRNA) component of the spliceosome (involved in pre-mRNA splicing). Its 5' end forms complementary base pairs with the 5' splice junction, thus defining the 5' donor site of an intron. There are significant differences in sequence and secondary structure between metazoan and yeast U1 snRNAs, the latter being much longer (568 nucleotides as compared to 164 nucleotides in human). The record is from Rfam by way of RNAcentral. Lineage: Eukaryota; Metazoa; Chordata; Mammalia; Rodentia; Spalacidae.
AUGCUUAUAUGGCAGGGGAAAUACCAUGACCACGAAGGAGCCUUUCCCAGGGUGAGGCUCAUCCAUUGCACUCAGGAUGUGCUGACUCCUGGGAUUUCCCCAAAUGCGGGAAACUGCAUAAUAUGCAGAAUGAGGGACUUGGCAGAUGGCUCAGU